GGUUAAGCGACUAAGCGUACACGGUGGAUGCCCUGGCAGUCAGAGGCGAUGAAGGACGUGCUAAUCUGCGAAAAGCGUCGGUAAGGUGAUAUGAACCGUUAUAACCGGCGAUGUCCGAAUGGGGAAACCCAGUGCAAUUCGUUGCACUAUCGUUAACUGAAUACAUAGGUUAACGAGGCGAACCGGGGGAACUGAAACAUCUAAGUACCCCGAGGAAAAGAAAUCAACCGAGAUUCCCCCAGUAGCGGCGAGCGAACGGGGAGCAGCCCAGAGUCUGAAUCAGCUUGUGUGUUAGUGGAACGGUCUGGAAAGUCCGACGGUACAGGGUGAUAGUCCCGUACACCAAAAUGCACAGGUUGUGAACUCGAAGAGUAGGGCGGGACACGUGGUAUCCUGUCUGAAUAUGGGGGGACCAUCCUCCAAGGCUAAAUACUCCUGACUGACCGAUAGUGAACCAGUACCGUGAGGGAAAGGCGAAAACA
This 482-nucleotide ribosomal RNA is filed under the name Mycobacterium tuberculosis. RNAcentral's name for it is "partial 23S ribosomal RNA". It matches the Rfam family "Bacterial large subunit ribosomal RNA", at positions 1 to 522 of the family's 2925-position model. Lineage: Bacteria; Bacillati; Actinomycetota; Actinomycetes; Mycobacteriales; Mycobacteriaceae. The record is from RNAcentral.